AGGGCGCAUGGUGAAUGCCUUGGCACUAGGAGCCGAUGAAGGACGGGACUAACACCGAUAUGCUUCGGGGAGCUGUACGUAAGCUAUGAUCCGGAGAUUUCCGAAUGGGGCAACCCAGCAGUUUUAAUCAACUGUUACCACUAGAUGAAUUCAUAGUCUAGUUGGAGGUAAACGCUGUGAACUGAAACAUCUCAUUAGCAGCAGGAAUAUAAAGAAAUUUCGAUUCCCUAAGUAGCGGCGAGCGAACGGGGAACAGCCCAAACCAAAGUGCUUGCACUUUGGGGUUGUAGGACUGAACAUUUGAGUUACCAAAGAACUUGAUAGUCGAAGGAUUUGGGAAAAUCCGCCAUAGAUGGUGAUAGCCCAGUAGAUUAAAUCAAAUUCUCUCAGUUCAGGAUCCUGAGUACGGCGGAACACGUGAAAUUCCGUCGGAAUCCGGGAGGACCAUCUCCCAAGGCUAAAUACUACCUAGUGACCGAUAGUGAACCAGUACCGUGAGGGAAAGGUGAAAAGCACCCCGGGAGGGGAGUGAAAUAGUUCCUGAAACCAUGUGCCUACAAUAAGUCAGAGCGCGUUAAUGCGUGAUGGCGUGCCUUUUGUAGAAUGAACCGGCGAGUUAUGAUCCCGUGCAAGGUUAAGACUAAAAAGUCGGAGCCGUAGCGAAAGCGAGUCUGAAAUGGGCGUUUUGAGUACGAGGUUAUAGACCCGAAACCAGGUGACCUAUCCAUGUCCAGGUUGAAGGUGCGGUAAAACGCACUGGAGGACCGAACCCGUGUAAGUUGAAAAUUGCUGGGAUGAGGUGUGGAUAGCGGUGAAAUUCCAAACGAACUUGGAGAUAGCUGGUUCUCUCCGAAAUAGCUUUAGGGCUAGCCUCGGAAUUAGGAUCAUGGAGGUAGAGCACUAUUUGGACUAGGGGCCCGUCUUGGGUUACUGAAUUCAGAUAAACUCCGAAUGCCAUUGAUUCAUAUCCGGGAGUCAGACGAUGAGUGAUAAGAUCCACCGUCGAAAGGGGAACAGCCCAGACCAUCAGUUAAGGUCCCUAAAUGUAUGCUAAGUGGAAAAGGAUGUGGAGUUGCAUAGACAACUAGGAUGUUGGCUCAGAAGCAGCCACCAUUUAAAGAGUGCGUAAUAGCUCACUAGUCGAGUGAUCCUGCGCCGAAAAUGUACCGGGGCUAAGCAUACUACCGAAACCAUGGAUGCGACCAUUAGGUCGCGUGAUAGGAGAGCGUUCUAAGGGCGGUGAAGCAAGAUCGUGAGGACUUGUGGAGCGCUUAGAAGUGAGAAUGCCGGUAUGAGUAGCGAAAGAUAGGUGAGAAUCCUAUCCACCGAAUGACUAAGGUUUCCUGGGGAAGGCUCGUCCUCCCAGGGUUAGUCGGGACCUAAGUCGAGGCCGAGAGGCGUAGACGAUGGAUAACAGGUUGAGAUUCCUGUACUAGUUAAGUGCGUUUGAGCAAUGGAGGGACGCAGGAGGCUAAGAUGUGCAUUCUGUUGGAUUAGAAUGUCCAAGCAGUAAGUCUUGUGAAGAGUCAAAUGCUUUUCACUUUAAGGACAAGCUGUGAUGGGGAGCGAAAUUUAGUAGCGAAGCGUCUGAUGUCACACUGCCGAGAAAAGCUUCUAGUGAGUACUUAACUACCCGUACCGCAAACCGACACAGGUAGUCGAGGAGAGAAUCCUAAGGUGAGCGAGUGAACUCUCGUUAAGGAACUCGGCAAAAUGACCCCGUAACUUCGGGAGAAGGGGUGCUGAUCGCAAGAUCAGCCGCAGUGAAUAGGCCCAGGCGACUGUUUAUCAAAAACACAGGUCUCUGCAAAAUCGUAAGAUGACGUAUAGGGGCUGACGCCUGCCCGGUGCUGGAAGGUUAAAAGGAUGGGUUAGCUUCGGCGAAGCUCAGAAUUGAAGCCCCAGUAAACGGCGGCCGUAACUAUAACGGUCCUAAGGUAGCGAAAUUCCUUGUCGGGUAAGUUCCGACCCGCACGAAAGGCGUAACGAUCUGGGCACUGUCUCAACGAGAGACUCGGUGAAAUUAUAUUGUCCGUGAAGAUGCGGACUACCCGCGACAGGACGGAAAGACCCCAUGGAGCUUUACUGUAGCUUGAUAUUGAGUGUUUGUACAGCUUGUACAGGAUAGGUAGGAGCCAUAGAAACCGGAACGCUAGUUUCGGUGGAGGCGUUGGUGGGAUACUACCCUCGCUGUAUGACCACUCUAACCCGCACCACUAAUCGUGGUGGGAGACAGUGUCAGGUGGGCAGUUUGACUGGGGCGGUCGCCUCCUAAAAAGUAACGGAGGCGCCCAAAGGUUCCCUCAGAAUGGUUGGAAAUCAUUCGCAGAGUGUAAAGGCACAAGGGAGCUUGACUGCGAGACAGACAGGUCGAGCAGGGACGAAAGUCGGGCUUAGUGAUCCGGUGGUACCGUAUGGAAGGGCCAUCGCUCAACGGAUAAAAGCUACCCUGGGGAUAACAGGCUUAUCUCCCCCAAGAGUCCACAUCGACGGGGAGGUUUGGCACCUCGAUGUCGGCUCAUCGCAUCCUGGGGCUGUAGUCGGUCCCAAGGGUUGGGCUGUUCGCCCAUUAAAGCGGUACGCGAGCUGGGUUCAGAACGUCGUGAGACAGUUCGGUCCCUAUCCGUCGCGGGCGUAGGAAAUUUGAGAGGACCUGUCCUUAGUACGAGAGGACCGGGAUGGACAU
This 2686-nucleotide ribosomal RNA is filed under the name Lactiplantibacillus plantarum. Its description in RNAcentral is "bacterial LSU rRNA". It matches the Rfam family "Bacterial large subunit ribosomal RNA". Lineage: Bacteria; Bacillati; Bacillota; Bacilli; Lactobacillales; Lactobacillaceae. The record is from RNAcentral.